UUUUAAGACUGUCUUGAUCCAUUAUUCAUGAAUAUUUAGACUACCCCUUGUAUAAAUUGAGUAGACAUUUAUUUCUGUGUUAAAAUAAUUUGGUUGCAGCAGUAAACAUACUUACCAAAACAUGAAUAUUAAAUUAACUCUUGGAAUAUUAAAUUAAUAUUAAAUUAUUAACCCUAUUAUGGCACAUAGGGACACAUAGGGCCUAUUUCACAGGG
This 215-nucleotide long non-coding RNA is filed under the name Mytilus galloprovincialis (Mediterranean mussel). The record is from RNAcentral. Lineage: Eukaryota; Metazoa; Mollusca; Bivalvia; Mytilida; Mytilidae.